AACGAACGCUGGCGGCAUGCCUAACACAUGCAAGUCGAACGAGACCUUCGGGUCUAGUGGCGCACGGGUGCGUAACGCGUGGGAACCUGCCCUUAGGUUCGGAAUAACUCCCCGAAAGGGGUGCUAAUACCGGAUAAUGUCUUCGGACCAAAGAUUUAUCGCCUUUGGAUGGGCCCGCGUUGGAUUAGCUAGUUGGUAGGGUAAAAGCCUACCAAGGUGACGAUCCAUAGCUGGUCUGAGAGGAUGAUCAGCCACACUGGGACUGAGACACGGCCCAGACUCCUACGGGAAGCAGCAGUGGGGAAUAUUGGACAAUGGGCGAAAGCCUGAUCCAGCAAUGCCGCGUGAGUGAUGAAGGCCUUAGGGUUGUAAAGCUCUUUUACCCGGGAUGAUAAUGACAGUACCGGGAGAAUAAGCUCCGGCUAACUCCGUG
This 433-nucleotide ribosomal RNA is filed under the name uncultured bacterium. Its description in RNAcentral is "partial 16S ribosomal RNA". It matches the Rfam family "Bacterial small subunit ribosomal RNA", at positions 29 to 507 of the family's 1533-position model. The record is from RNAcentral.